UCUAUCAGUCAGACUAUCGCUUCGAUUUAAUCGGAGAGGAAAGUCCGGACAGCACAGAGCAACACACCGGUUAAUAGCCGGUUCCGAUACAAUCGGAAAGAAAGUGCCACAGAAAAUUACUGCCCAGUAAAAUGGGUUAAGGUGAAAAUGUGAGGUAAGAGCUCACAGGUAGUUGUAGUAAUACAACAAUCGGGUAAACCUUGUGUGCUGCAAUGCCACGUAUAUCAGCGCUCCAUUAAUUUGGUAAAGAGCGGCUCGUUCAAUGUUGAAGGGUAGGCAGCAAGAUGGUGUUAGUAAUAACACUGCCAGAUAAAUGAUAGUCUCCCGAUUUUAUCGGGAAACAGAAUCCGGCUUAUUGACUGAUAGAAUUU
RNAcentral lists this RNase P RNA (371 nucleotides) under Chitinophagaceae bacterium. RNAcentral's name for it is "RNase P RNA component class A". It matches the Rfam family "Bacterial RNase P class A". From Rfam's summary of the family: Ribonuclease P (RNase P) is a ubiquitous endoribonuclease, found in archaea, bacteria and eukarya as well as chloroplasts and mitochondria. Its best characterised activity is the generation of mature 5'-ends of tRNAs by cleaving the 5'-leader elements of precursor-tRNAs. Lineage: Bacteria; Pseudomonadati; Bacteroidota; Chitinophagia; Chitinophagales; Chitinophagaceae. The record is from RNAcentral.